AGAGUUUGAUCAUGGCUCAGGACGAACGCUGGCGGCGUGCUUAACACAUGCAAGUCGAACGGAAAGGCCCUUCGGGGUACUCGAGUGGCGAACGGGUGAGUAACACGUGGGUGAUCUGCCCUGCACUCUGGGAUAAGCCUGGGAAACUGGGUCUAAUACCGGAUAGGACCGCAUGCUUCAUGGUGUGUGGUGCAAAGCUUUUGCGGUGUGGGAUGAGCCCGCGGCCUAUCAGCUUGUUGGUGGGGUAAUGGCCUACCAAGGCGACGACGGGUAGCCGGCCUGAGAGGGUGACCGGCCACACUGGGACUGAGAUACGGCCCAGACUCCUACGGGAGGCAGCAGUGGGGAAUAUUGCACAAUGGGCGCAAGCCUGAUGCAGCGACGCCGCGUGAGGGAUGACGGCCUUCGGGUUGUAAACCUCUUUCAGUAGGGACGAAGCGAAAGUGACGGUACCUACAGAAGAAGGACCGGCCAACUACGUGCCAGCAGCCGCGGUAAUACGUAGGGUCCGAGCGUUGUCCGGAAUUACUGGGCGUAAAGAGCUCGUAGGUGGUUUGUCGCGUUGUUCGUGAAAACUCACAGCUUAACUGUGGGCGUGCGGGCGAUACGGGCAGACUAGAGUACUGCAGGGGAGACUGGAAUUCCUGGUGUAGCGGUGGAAUGCGCAGAUAUCAGGAGGAACACCGGGGGCGAAGGCGGGUCUCUGGGCAGUAACUGACGCUGAGGAGCGAAAGCGUGGGUAGCGAACAGGAUUAGAUACCCCGGUAGUCCAA
RNAcentral lists this ribosomal RNA (773 nucleotides) under uncultured bacterium. RNAcentral's name for it is "bacterial SSU rRNA". It matches the Rfam family "Bacterial small subunit ribosomal RNA", at positions 8 to 798 of the family's 1533-position model. The record is from RNAcentral.